CUAAAAUGAUUAUCUGUAAAGCUACAGAAGUUUAAUACUGAGGAUGUAUUACAAUUAUUUUUGAUAUCAGGAUAAAAAUACCUGUUCAUGAAUGAUGGUAUUGAUUUUCUCUUCUGACUUGUCUCCAGUUACAGGUGUAAUAGCCAAUAUUACUUAUAUUAACAACUAGCACCCAUUUUAAAAUUUCUGUAGUGCUGAUAAUUUAUAUGCAAGGAAAUUAAGACAAUGAGUUAUCAAUACUUGGGUUGAAUCAGUGUGAGAAACUAAAAUGCAAAUAGGUAAAAAAAAUAGGUUACUUCACUAAGUUUUCAUAAUGCAUUUGAAAACGUGGUUUCAUAAUGCAAUGACCUGGGGCUACCAACUGUUUGUAAUAGCACAAAUCUAAACAGUAUUAUGGGCAUAUAUUUCAAUAGCUCACAUCCUUCUUGAAAGAAAAUCAUUUUUCAUGGCCAUUAUUCACAUAAAAGUUCAAAUCUCUCCAAUCAGCUUUUAUAUAACAGUUUUAUGGAUUUAUCUUAGGAACAAAAUUAACCAAAAGACCCUGUAGUAGUUUUCCUUCCAGCAUAUCUUCUCUACCUAUUUUAUUAUUCAUUGUAAAACUACUGGGUGAAUAGUAUAUGUUUUUUCAGAUGUUUCUAAUCAGUAGAUAAAUAGGUACACAUAGUGCACAAAAAUCUAAGACAGAGAAGGUGAAUAAAAAAGUGUUAUUUAUGGGCAACCCCCUUUGGGUCCCCUCCCACUGUAUGGGAGCUGUGUUUUCACUCUAGUAAAUCUUGCAACUGCACACUCUCCUGCUCCGUGUUUGUUAUGGCUCGAGCUGAGCUUUCGCUGGCCGUCCACCACUGCUGUUUGCCACUGUUGCAGACCCGCCACUGACUUCCACCCCUCCGGAUCCAGCAGGGUGUCCACUGUGCUCCUGAUCCAGCAAGGCGCCCAUUGCUGCUCCUGAUCGGGCUAAAGGCUCGCCAUUGUUCCUGUACAGCUAAGUGCCUGGGUUCGUCCUAAUCGAGCUGAACACUAGUUGCUGGGUUCCACGGUUCUCUUCUGUGACCCACAGCUUCUAAUAGAGCUAUAACACUCACCUCAUGGCCUAAGGUUCCAUUCCUUGGAAUCCAUGAGGCCAAGAACCCCAGGUCAGAGAACAAAAGGGAUGCCACCAUCUUGGGAGCAGCCCGCCACCGUCUUGGGAACUCUAACAACAAAGACCCACUGGUAACAUUUGGUGGCCUCAUACAGGGAUUCUCUAAAGCAAAUGAAGACCAUCCCUGGGCAAAAUUGCGAAGAAGUGGAAGGAAAGAAGAGAAAGAAGAAGAAAGGAAUAUAGGUAAAAAAACUAAAAUGAGAAGUUGAGAACAGAAAUCUUGACUAGAAGGGCAACAAGGAAAAAGGGGAGGGAAUGAACAUAUAUGAAACAUUCCACAUGCCACGGUGCCACUAAUAUUAAGAAAACUGUGGCAAAUAGAGCCAGGAAGGCCACAAAAAGAAGACCCUUAUGCUUGUAUGCCUGAUAACAAAAUUAUUGCCAAAGAUUGUAAAAAAAACACAACAUUGCACAAAGGCCAUCACAAUCUUAAACAAAAAAAUACUUCUACAAGGACAUCUGCCCAGCAACUGCAUGUCUAAUCUCAGACUGGCAUCACCCUUGUUAUUGAUUUUUGUAGCCAAGGAUAAUAAUUAUUUCAACAAUUAUGUAAUUCUCCUUAAUGUUUUCCCAUAAAAACCUUUGUCUUCCUUUGCCUCCCGGAAUAUACACAUAGUUUACUAUGGCAUGCAUAUUCCCAUUGCAAUGCUUUAAUCCAAAUAAAUAUCUCCUUCUUUUAGGGAGCUUGUUUCUCUGUUGGUUAUUUAGAUUGACACUAGCAUGGUACUAUCAUAUGUCAUCCUAGUCAAUCAUUAAGAUAAGGAUGUUGAGGUUCAGAGAAGCACAAAGUAACCUGGAAAAGGUCACCUGGAUUAAAAAGAAUUUGUUGCCAUUUGAAUCCAGGUCAUACUACUGUACUAUGGGCAUUGUCAUCUCAUGACCAUUUGUUGAUCUCCAGUCUACCAAAAGCUCAACCUAAUGCAGUGCCCCAUAAAUAAUAUUUGUUUUUAAGAUAUUUAUUGAUCUGAACUGAAGUAUUCUUUAAGAGUAUGUUGAAUAGGAGUGGUGAGAGAGGGCAUCCC
Molecule: long non-coding RNA, 2163 nt
Filed under: Homo sapiens (human)
Lineage: Eukaryota; Metazoa; Chordata; Mammalia; Primates; Hominidae
Description: HSALNT0137952
Source: RNAcentral